AGUGAACGCUGGCGGUAGGCCUAACACAUGCAAGUCGAACGGCAGCACAGUAAGAGCUUGCUCUUACGGGUGGCGAGUGGCGGACGGGUGAGGAAUACAUCGGAAUCUACUUUUUCGUGGGGGAUAACGUAGGGAAACUUACGCUAAUACCGCAUACGACCUACGGGUGAAAGCAGGGGAUCUUCGGACCUUGCGCGAUUGAAUGAGCCGAUGUCGGAUUAGCUAGUUGGCGGGGUAAAGGCCCACCAAGGCGACGAUCCGUAGCUGGUCUGAGAGGAUGAUCCGCCCCACUGGAACUGAGACACGGUCCAGACUCCUACGGGAGGCAGCAGUGGGGAAUAUUGGACAAAGGGCGCAAGCCUGAUCCAGCCAUACCGCGUGGGUGAAGAAGGCCUUCGGGUUGUAAAGCCCUUUUGUUGGGAAAGAAAAGCAGCAGGUUAAUACCCCGCUGUUCUGACGGUACCCAAAGAAUAAGCACCGGCUAACUUCGUG
This 492-nucleotide ribosomal RNA is filed under the name uncultured bacterium. RNAcentral's name for it is "partial 16S ribosomal RNA". It matches the Rfam family "Bacterial small subunit ribosomal RNA", at positions 29 to 507 of the family's 1533-position model. The record is from RNAcentral.